Molecule: ribosomal RNA, 466 nt
Filed under: Vreelandella stevensii
Lineage: Bacteria; Pseudomonadati; Pseudomonadota; Gammaproteobacteria; Oceanospirillales; Halomonadaceae
Description: partial 16S ribosomal RNA
Rfam family: Bacterial small subunit ribosomal RNA
Source: RNAcentral
CCUACGGGUGGCAGCAGUGGGGAAUAUUGGACAAUGGGCGAAAGCCUGAUCCAGCCAUGCCGCGUGUGUGAAGAAGGCCUUCGGGUUGUAAAGCACUUUCAGUGGGGAAGAAAGCCUUGGGGCUAAUACCCUCGAGGAAGGACAUCACCCACAGAAGAAGCACCGGCUAACUCCGUGCCAGCAGCCGCGGUAAUACAGGAGGGUGCGAGCGUGAAUCGGAAUUACUGGGCGUAAAGCGCGCGUAGGCGGUCUGAUAAGCCGGUUGUGAAAGCCCCGGGCUCAACCUGGGAACGGCAUCCGGAACUGUCAGGCUAGAGUGCAGGAGAGGAAGGUAGAAUUCCCGGUGUAGCGGUGAAAUGCGUAGAGAUCGGGAGGAAUACCAGUGGCGAAGGCGGCCUUCUGGACUGACACUGACGCUGAGGUGCGAAAGCGUGGGUAGCAAACAGGAUUAGAUACCCUAGUAGUC